This 552-nucleotide ribosomal RNA is filed under the name uncultured Geobacteraceae bacterium. RNAcentral's name for it is "bacterial SSU rRNA". It matches the Rfam family "Bacterial small subunit ribosomal RNA", at positions 9 to 537 of the family's 1533-position model. Lineage: Bacteria; Pseudomonadati; Thermodesulfobacteriota; Desulfuromonadia; Geobacterales; Geobacteraceae. The record is from RNAcentral.
GAGUUUGAUCCUGGCUCAGAACGAACGCUGGCGGCGUGCUUAACACAUGCAAGUCGAACGUGAUCCAGAGCUUGCUCUGGUGAAAGUGGCGCACGGGUGAGUAACGCGUGGAUAACCUGCCCUGGUAUCUGGGAUAACAUCUCGAAAGGGGUGCUAAUACCGGAUAAGCCUACGGGMUCUUCGGAKUCUGCAGGAAAAGGAGGCCUCUAUUUAUAAGCUUCCGUAUCAUGAUGGGUCCGCGUACCAUUAGCUAGUUGGUGGGGUAAUGGCCUACCAAGGCGACGAUGGUUAGCUGGUCUGAGAGGAUGAUCAGCCACACUGGAACUGAGACACGGUCCAGACUCCUACGGGAGGCAGCAGUGGGGAAUUUUGCGCAAUGGGGGAAACCCUGACGCAGCAACGCCGCGUGAGUGAUGAAGGCUUUCGGGUCGUAAAGCUCUGUCAGAGGGGAAGAAAUGAAACGUGCUAAUAUCACGUUUUCUUGACGGUACCCUCAAAGGAAGCACCGGCUAACUCCGUGCCAGCAGCCGCGGUAAUACAAGGGCGMMYUCW